This 76-nucleotide transfer RNA is filed under the name Betaproteobacteria bacterium. RNAcentral's name for it is "tRNA-Thr". It matches the Rfam family "tRNA". From Rfam's summary of the family: Transfer RNA (tRNA) molecules are approximately 80 nucleotides in length. Their secondary structure includes four short double-helical elements and three loops (D, anti-codon, and T loops). Further hydrogen bonds mediate the characteristic L-shaped molecular structure. tRNAs have two regions of fundamental functional importance: the anti-codon, which is responsible for specific mRNA codon recognition, and the 3' end, to which the tRNAs corresponding amino acid is attached (by aminoacyl-tRNA synthetases). tRNAs cope with the degeneracy of the genetic code in two manners: having more than one tRNA (with a specific anti-codon) for a particular amino acid; and 'wobble' base-pairing, i.e. permitting non-standard base-pairing at the 3rd anti-codon position. Lineage: Bacteria; Pseudomonadati; Pseudomonadota; Betaproteobacteria. The record is from RNAcentral.
GCCGGCUUAGCUCAGCUGGUAGAGCAGCGGUUUUGUAAACCGUUGGUCGGCGGUUCGAGUCCGUCAGCCGGCACCA